GAUGAACGCUGGCGGCGUGCUUAAUACAUGCAAGUCGAGCGGCAGCAUGACCUUUUAGGUUGAUGGCGAGCGGCGGACGGCUGAGUAACGCGUAGGAAUAUACCCCAAAGUGAGGGAUAACUGCCCGAAAGGGGGGCUAAUACAGCAUGUGGUCUUUAUGAUUAAAGGAUUUAUCCGCUUUGGGAAUAGCCUGCGUUCGAUUAGCUUGUUGGUGGGGUAACGGCCCACCAAGGCAACGACGGGUAGCCGGCCUGAGAGGGUGACCGGCCACACUGGGACUGAGACACGGCCCAGACUCCUACGGGAGGCAGCAGUGGGGAAUAUUGGACAAUGGGCGAAAGCCUGAUCCAGCAACGCCGCGUGAGGGAUGACGGCCUUCGGGUUGUAAACCUCUUUCAGCAGGGACGAAGCGCAAGUGACGGUACCUGCAGAAGAAGCACCGGCCAACUACGUGCCAGCAGCCGCCGUAA
RNAcentral lists this ribosomal RNA (470 nucleotides) under uncultured bacterium. Its description in RNAcentral is "partial 16S ribosomal RNA". It matches the Rfam family "Bacterial small subunit ribosomal RNA", at positions 28 to 523 of the family's 1533-position model. The record is from RNAcentral.